Sarcophilus harrisii (Tasmanian devil) is the source of this 176-nucleotide non-coding RNA. NCBI's taxonomy places the organism in Eukaryota, Metazoa, Chordata, Mammalia, Dasyuromorphia, Dasyuridae. The record is from Rfam.
AAACAUGAGCCCCGCCUGUUUACCAAAAACAUCACCUCUAGCAUUUACCAGUAUUAGAGGCACUGCCUGCCCGGUGAGUUGUGACUUUAACUGCCGCGGUAUCCUGACUGUGCAAAGGUAGCAUAAUCACUUCUCUUUUAAUUGGGGACUAGUAUGAAUGGCAUCACGAGGGCUCA